CCUACGGGGGGCAGCAGUGGGGAAUUUUGGACAAUGGGGGCAACCCUGAUCCAGCCAUGCCGCGUGCGGGAAGAAGGCCUUCGGGUUGUAAACCGCUUUUGUCAGGGAAGAAAUCUUCCGAGCUAAUACCUUGGGAGGAUGACGGUACCUGAAGAAUAAGCACCGGCUAACUACGUGCCAGCAGCCGCGGUAAUACGUAGGGUGCAAGCGUUAAUCGGAGUUUCUGCGGGUAAAGCUGCAACAGGGGGGUGAAAUCCCCGGGCUGAACCUGGGAACUGCACUUGUGACUGUACGGCUGGAGUACGGCAGAGGGGGAUGGAAUUCCGCGUGUAGCAGUGAAAUGCGUAGAUAUGCGGAGGAACACCGAUGGCGAAGGCAGUCCCCUGGGCCUGUACUGACGCUCAUGCACGAAAGCGUGGGGAGCAAACAGGAUUAGAUACCCGGGUAGUC
Molecule: ribosomal RNA, 450 nt
Filed under: uncultured bacterium
Lineage: Bacteria
Description: partial 16S ribosomal RNA
Rfam family: Bacterial small subunit ribosomal RNA
Source: RNAcentral